GCCUCGUUAGCGUAGUUGGAUUAUCGCAUCCGUCUAAUACACGGUGCCUCAGGCUAACCUGGGAUUACAACGGAAGGUCACUGGUUCGAGCCCAGUACGGGGCA
Molecule: transfer RNA, 104 nt
Filed under: Testicularia cyperi
Lineage: Eukaryota; Fungi; Basidiomycota; Ustilaginomycetes; Ustilaginales; Anthracoideaceae
Description: tRNA-Ile
Rfam family: tRNA
About the family: Transfer RNA (tRNA) molecules are approximately 80 nucleotides in length.
Source: RNAcentral